RNAcentral lists this ribosomal RNA (406 nucleotides) under uncultured bacterium. RNAcentral's name for it is "partial 16S ribosomal RNA". It matches the Rfam family "Bacterial small subunit ribosomal RNA", at positions 30 to 526 of the family's 1533-position model. The record is from RNAcentral.
AUUGAACGCUGGCGGCAGGCCUAACACAUGCAAGUCGAACGAGUUGCGGACGGGUGAGUAAUGUCUGGGAAACUGCCUGAUGGAGGGGGAUAACUACUGGAAACGGUAGCUAAUACCGCAUACCAUCGGAUGUGCCCAGAUGGGAUUAGCUAGUAGGUGGGGUAAAGGCUCACCUAGGCGACGCUCCCGAGCUGGUCUGAAAGGAUGACCAGCGACACUGGAAGUGAGACACGGUCCAGACGCAUACGGGAGGCAGCAGUGGGGAAUAUUGCACAAUGGGAGCAAGCCUGAUGCAGCCAUGCCGCGUGUAUGAAGAAGGCCUUCGGGUUGUAAAGUACUUUCAGCGGGGAGGCGUUACCCGCAGAAGAAGCACCGGCUAACUCCGUGCCAGCAGCCGCGGUAAUUC